This is a non-coding RNA of Strongylocentrotus purpuratus (purple sea urchin), 46 nucleotides long. The record is from Rfam. Lineage: Eukaryota; Metazoa; Echinodermata; Echinoidea; Camarodonta; Strongylocentrotidae.
CUAUAGGCUCUUUUCAAAGCCAUAAUUAUUAAAUAUUAUGAAAUAU